GUUUGAUUUACCUGAUGAUGUUCUCUAUGAACGUUACAGGUUUUCCUCGGACGGCCUCAAUAUUCAGGUAGCAUGAAGUCUAAGCAAUACACUAAAAUUUGCCAAGCUCCAGGUUCAAAUUUGUUAGUCAUCAUUCAGAAUUCAUUGAAGCAGAUUAGAAAACUCUUAACCCCAAAUGUGUCUGCAGAUGACGUGACCAUCAGAUGAUGGAGAAAAAAAAAAGGCAGUGUGAGGAAAUCACUGUUUAUGCGUUGAAAUAUGUACAAAUAAAAUCUUCCAAUAAACUUACAAACUACUUUAAAGGAUGUUUUUAGAUUUAUUUUUAUUUGCUCCCACGUACUCUUUUCCCCACUGCUGUUGUAUCUGAAAUAAUGAGGUCAGUGAUGGUGGUGAUCACACACGCUGCAUGACAAUAUAUUAGGGGGCCAUAAAUUUAUGAACGCACAAAUGUAAUUUACACAACCGGUGAUUUUUUUUUUUUUGCCGGCAGUCCCUCCGGCUUUUAGCGGCUGUGUCUGUCUCACUGUUAAAAUAAAGCUCUGUUCUUCAGCUGUGAAAAAUGACGUGCAGCCUUCUCCAUUGUGGAGAUUGGUCCGGUGGCACUGACCCCACCCCCUUUAGGUGUGCGCGCACAGAUCUGAACUGGAUUCAGUUAUGGAGUUGAUAACCGGCUUCGUAGUACAGCUGAUCGGGAUCGCAGAGAUCCGGUGAAGUUGAGCGAGUUGUCGCAGAGUUAUCCUGGAUUUGUUAAUCCAGCUUCGUAGUACAGGCCUCUGGUAAUGUCUCAGGAUAUAACUAGGUUAUAACCAGGUAAUGUCUCAGGUUAUAACCAGGUAAUAUCUCAGGUUAUAACCAGGUUAAAACCAGGUUAAAACCAGGUAAUGUCUCAGGUUAUAACCGGGUUAAAACCAGGUUAUAACAAGGUAAUGUCUCAGGUUAUAACAAGGUUAUAACCUGGUUAUAUCCAGGUAAUGUCUUAGGUUACAACCAGGUUAUAACCUGGUUAUAUCCAUGUAAUGUCUUCGGUUACAACCAGGUUAUAACCAGGUAAUGUCUCAGGAUAUAACCAGGUUAUAACCAGGUAAUGUCUUAGGAUAUAAAUAGGUAAUAACCAGGUUAUGUCCCAGGAUAUAACCAGGUUAUAACGAAGUAAUGUCUCAGGAUAUAACCAGGUUAUAACCAGGUAAUGUUUCAGGAUAUAACCAGGUUAUAACCAGGUUAUAACCAGGUAAUGUCUCAGGAUAUAACUAGGUUAUAACCAGGUUAUAACCAGGUAAUGUCUCAGGAUAUAACCAGGUUACAACCAGGUAAUGUCUCAGGAUUUAACUAGGUUAUAACCAGGUAAUGUCUCAGGAUAUAAUCCGGUUAUAACCAAGUAAUGUCUCAGGAUAUAACCAGGUUAUAACCAGGUAAUGUCUCAGGAUAUAAAUAGGUUAUAACCAGGUGAUGUCGCAAGAUAUAACCAGGUUACAACCAGGUAGUGUCUCAGGAUUUAACCAGGUUAUAAACAGGUUAUAACCUGGUUAUAACCAGGUAAUGUCUCAGGUUAUAACCAGGUAAUGUCUCAUGAUAUAACCAGGUAAUGUCUCAUGAUAUAACCAUGUUAUAACCAGGUAAUGUCUCAGGAUAUAAUCCGGUUAUAACCAGGUAAUGUCUCAGGUUAUAACCAGGUUAUAACCAGGUAAUGUCUCAGGAUAUAACCAGGUUGUAACCAGGUAAUGUCUCAGGUUAUAACCAGGUUAUAACCAAGUAAUGUCUCAGGUUAUAACCAGGCUAUUACCAGGUAAUGUCUCAGGUUAUAACCAGGUUAUUACCAGGUAUUGUCUCAGGUUAUAACCAGGUUAUUACCAGGUAUUGUCUCAGGUUAUUACCAGGUAAUAACCAGGUUAUUACCAGGUAUUGUCUCAGGUUAUAACCAGGAUAUUACCAGGUAAUGUCUCAGGUUAUAACCAGGUUAUUACCAGGUAAUGUCUCGGGUUAUUACCAUGUAAUUACCAGGUUAUUAUCAGGUUAUUACCAGGUAUUGUAUCAGGUUAUAACCAGGUUAUUACCAGGUAAUGUCUCAGGUUAUUACCAGGUAAUUACCAGGUUAUUACCAGGUAUUGUCUCAGAUUACAACCAGGUUAUUACCAGGUAAUGUCUCAGGUUUUUACCAGGUAAUUACCAGGUUAUUACCAGGUAUUGUAUCAGGUUAUAACCAGGUUAUUACUGGGUAAUGUCUCAGGUUAUAACCAGGUUAAAACAGGGUAAUGUCUCAGGUUAUAACCAGGUAAUGUCUCAGGUUAUAACCAGGUCAUAACCAGGUAAUGUCUCAGGUUAUAACCAGGUUAUAACCAGGUAAUGUCUCAGGUUAUAAACAGGUUAUUACCAAGUAAUGUCUCAGGUUAAAACCAGGUUAUAACCAGGUAAUGUCUCAGGUUAUAACCAGGUUAUAACCAGGUAAUGUUUCAGGAUAUAACCAGGUUAUAACCAGGUAAUGUUUCAGGAUAUAACCAGGUUAUAACCAGGUUAUAACCAGGUAAUGUCUCAGGAUAUAACUAGGUUAUAACCAGGUUAUAACCAGGUAAUGUCUCAGGAUAUAACCAGGUUACAACCAGGUAAUGUCUCAGGAUUUAACUAGGUUAUAACCAGGUAAUGUCUCAGGAUAUAACCAGGUCAUAACCAGGUAAUGCCCAGCUCAUAACCAGGUUAUAACCAGGUAAUGUCUCAGGAUAUAACUAGGUUAUAACCAGGUGAUGUCGCAAGAUAUAACCAGGUUACAACCAGGUAGUGUCUCAGGAUUUAACCAGGUUAUAAACAGGUUAUAACCUGGUUAUAACCCAGGUUAUAACCUGGUUAUAACCAGGUAAUGUCUCAGGUUAUAACCAGGUAAUGUCUCAUGAUAUAACCAUGUUAUAACCAGGUAAUGUCUCAGGAUAUAAUCCGGUUAUAACCAGGUAAUGUCUCAGGAUAUAACCAGGUUUUAACCAGGUAAUGUCUCAGGUUAUAACCAGGUUAUAACCAUGUAAUGUCUCAGGAUAUAACCAGGUUGUAACCAGGUAAUGUCUCAGGUUAUAACCAGGUAAAAACCACGUUAUAACCAGAUAAUGUCUCAGGUUAUAACCAGGUUAUAACCUGGUUAUAUCCAGGUAAUGUCUGAGUUUACAACCAGGUUAUAACCAGGUAAUGUCUCAGGAUAUAACCAGGUUAUAACCAGGUAAUAUCUUAGGAUAUAACUAGGUAAUAACCAGGUGAUGUUCCGGGAUAUAACCAGGUUAUAACCAAGUAAUGUCUCAGGAUUUAACCAGGUUAUAACCAGGGUAUAACUAGGUAAUGUCUCAGGAUAUAACUAGGUUAUAACCAGGUAAUGUCUCACGAUAGAACCAGGUUAUAACCAGGUUAUAACCAGGUAAUGUCUCAGGAUAUAAUCCGGUUAUAACCAGGUAAUGUCUCAGGAUAUAACCAGGUUUUAACCAGGUAAUGUCUCAGGUUAUAACCAGGUUAUAACCAUGUAAUGUCUCAGGAUAUAACCAGGUUGUAACCAGGUAAUGUCUCAGGUUAUAACCAGGUAAAAACCACGUUAUAACCAGAUAAUGUCUCAGGUUAUAACCAGGUUAUAACCUGGUUAUAUCCAGGUAAUGUCUGAGUUUACAACCAGGUUAUAACCAGGUAAUGUCUCAGGAUAUAACCAGGUUAUAACCAGGUAAUAUCUUAGGAUAUAACUAGGUAAUAACCAGGUGAUGUUCCGGGAUAUAACCAGGUUAUAACCAAGUAAUGUCUCAGGAUUUAACCAGGUUAUAACCAGGGUAUAACUAGGUAAUGUCUCAGGAUAUAACUAGGUUAUAACCAGGUAAUGUCUCACGAUAGAACCAGGUUAUAACCAGGUUAUAACCAGGUAAUGUCUCAGGAUAUAACUAGGUUAUAACCAGGUAAUGUCUCAAGAUAUAACCAGGUUAUAACCAGGUAAUGUCUCAGGUUAUAACCAAGUUUUAACCAGGUAAUGUCUCAGGAUAUAACCAGGUUAUAACCAAGUAAUGUCUCAGGAUAUAACCAGGUUAUAACCAGGUAAUGUCUCAGGUUAAAACCAGGUUAUAACCAGGUAAUGUUGCAAGAUAUAACCAGGUUAUAACCAGGUAAUGUCUUAGGAUGUAACCAGGUUAUAACCAGGUAAUGUCUCAGGUUAUAACCAGGUUAUAACCAAGUAAUGUCUCAGGAUAUAACUAGGUUAUAACCAGGUAAUGUCUCAGGAUAUAACCAGCUUAAAACCAGGUAAUGUCUCAGGUUAUAACCAGGUUAUAACCAGGUAAUGUCUCAGGAUAUAACCAGGUUACAACCAGGUAAUGUCUCAGGAUAUAACCAAGUUAAAACCGAGUAAUGUCUCAGGUUAUAACCAGGUUAUAACAAGGUAAUGUCUCAGGAUAUAACCAGGUUAUAACCAGGUAAUGUCUCAGGUUAAAACAAGGUUAAUCCCACGUUAUAACCAGGUAAUGCCUCAGGUUAUAACCAGGUCAUAACCUGGUUAUAUCCAGGGAAUGUCUUAGUUUACAACCAGGUUAUAACCAGGUAAUGUCUGAGGAUAUAAACAGGUUAUAACCAAGUAAUGUCUCAGGAUAUAACCAGGUUAUAACCAGGUAAUGUCUCAGGAUAUAACUAGGUUAUAACCAGGUUAUAACCAGGUAAUGUCUCAGGAUAUAACUAGGUUAUAAUCAGGUAAUGUUGCAAGAUAUAACCAGGUUAUAACCAGGUAAUGUCUCAGGUUAUAACUAGGUUAUAACCAGGUAAUGUCUCAGGUUAUAACCAGGUAAUAACCAGGCUAUAACCAGGUUAUUACCAGGUAAUGUCUCAUGUUAUAACCAGGUUAUAACCAGAGGCCUGUACUACAAAGCUGGAUUUGGUCUUAGCGAGAUAACUUCUGGAUAACUUCUGGGUUUUCUGUACUACGAAGGUGGAUCUCUUUUUAUCCGGGUCCGUUGCCCCGGUAACUUACGCGGAACGCCAAACCUGCUCCGGAGCAGGUUAUGUUUCAGGAUAAGAUCUCAGCAGGUAUAAAAGACCGCCCAAUGACCAAUCAGAUCUCUUGGAAAAUGGCUUGCCCACUUUUGCCGGAUCCCGGGGACAUCGUUGCUCGGAUAGUGAGAGGAGCGCUUCGCCGAGAGCGUUAUAUUCAUGAUUGUUCAAAUCUGUUUGAUUUACCUGAUGACGUUCUCUAUGAACGUUACAGGUUUUCCUCGGACGGCCUCAAUAUUCAGGUAGCAUGAAGUCUAAGCAAUACACUAAAAUUUGCCAAGCUCCAGGUUCAAAUUUGUUAGUCAUCAUUCAGAAUUUAUUGAAGCAGAUUAGAAAACUCUUAACCCCAAAUGUGUCUGCAGAUGACGUGACCAUCAGAUGAUGGAGAAAAAAAAAAGGCAGUGUGAGGAAAUCACUGUUUAUGCGUUGAAAUAUGUACAAAUAAAAUCUUCCAAUAAACUUACAAACUACUUUAAAGGAUGUUUUUAGAUUUAUUUUUAUUUGCUCCCACGUACUCUUUUCCCCACUGCUGUUGUAUCUGAAAUAAUGAGGUCAGUGAUGGUGGUGAUCACACACGCUGCAUGACAAUAUAUUAGGGGGCCAUAAAUUUAUGAACGCACAAAUGUAAUUUACACAACCGGUGAUUUUUUUUUUUUUGCCGGCAGUCCCUCCGGCUUUUAGCGGCUGUGUCUGUCUCACUGUUAAAAUAAAGCUCUGUUCUUCAGCUGUGAAAAAUGACGUGCAGCCUUCUCCAUUGUGGAGAUUGGUCCGGUGGCACUGACC
Molecule: non-coding RNA, 5769 nt
Organism: Xyrichtys novacula (pearly razorfish)
Lineage: Eukaryota; Metazoa; Chordata; Actinopteri; Labriformes; Labridae
Source: the annotation of a GenBank genome assembly